Molecule: ribosomal RNA, 253 nt
Filed under: uncultured bacterium
Lineage: Bacteria
Description: partial 16S ribosomal RNA
Rfam family: Bacterial small subunit ribosomal RNA
Source: RNAcentral
UACGAAGGGGGCUAGCGUUGCUCGGAAUCACUGGGCGUAAAGGGCGCGUAGGCGGCUGUUCAAGUCGGGGGUGAAAUCCCGUGGCUCAACCACGGAAUGGCCUUCGAUACUGGACGGCUCGAGACCGGAAGAGGUGAGUGGAACUGCGAGUGUAGAGGUGAAAUUCGUAGAUAUUCGCAAGAACACCAGUGGCGAAGGCGGCUCACUGGUCCGGUUCUGACGCUGAGGCGCGAAAGCGUGGGGAGCAAACGGG